Molecule: ribosomal RNA, 1434 nt
Filed under: uncultured organism
Description: 16S ribosomal RNA
Rfam family: Bacterial small subunit ribosomal RNA
Source: RNAcentral
GCUUAACACAUGCAAGUCGAGGGGCAGCACAGGUAGCAAUACCGGGUGGCGACCGGCGCACGGGUGAGUAACGCGUAUGCAACUUGCCUAUCAGAGGGGGAUAACCCGGCGAAAGUCGGACUAAUACCGCAUGAAGCAGGGAUCCCGCAUGGGAAUAUUUGCUAAAGAUUCAUCGCUGAUAGAUAGGCAUGCGUUCCAUUAGGCAGUUGGCGGGGUAACGGCCCACCAAACCGACGAUGGAUAGGGGUUCUGAGAGGAAGGUCCCCCACAUUGGUACUGAGACACGGACCAAACUCCUACGGGAGGCAGCAGUGAGGAAUAUUGGUCAAUGGCCGAGAGGCUGAACCAGCCAAGUCGCGUGAGGGAUGAAGGUUCUAUGGAUCGUAAACCUCUUUUAUAAGGGAAUAAAGUGCGGGACGUGUCCCGUUUUGUAUGUACCUUAUGAAUAAGGAUCGGCUAACUCCGUGCCAGCAGCCGCGGUAAUACGGAGGAUCCGAGCGUUAUCCGGAUUUAUUGGGUUUAAAGGGUGCGUAGGCGGCCUUUUAAGUCAGCGGUGAAAGUCUGUGGCUCAACCAUAGAAUUGCCGUUGAAACUGGGGGGCUUGAGUAUGUUUGAGGCAGGCGGAAUGCGUGGUGUAGCGGUGAAAUGCAUAGAUAUCACGCAGAACCCCGAUUGCGAAGGCAGCCUGCCAAGCCAUGACUGACGCUGAUGCACGAAAGCGUGGGGGUCAAACAGGAUUAGAUACCCCUGGUAGUCCACGCAGUAAACGAUGAUCACUAGCUGUUUGCGAUACACUGUAAGCGGCGCAGCGAAAGCGUUAAGUGAUCCACCUGGGGAGUACGCCGGCAACGGUGAAACUCAAAGGAAUUGACGGGGGCCCGCACAAGCGGAGGAACAUGUGGUUUAAUUCGAUGAUACGCGAGGAACCUUACCCGGGUUUGAACGCAUUCGGACCGAGGUGGAAACACCUUUUCUAGCAAUAGCCGUUUGCGAGGUGCUGCAUGGUUGUCGUCAGCUCGUGCCGUGAGGUGUCGGCUUAAGUGCCAUAACGAGCGCAACCCUUGCCACUAGUUACUAACAGGUGAUGCUGAGGACUCUGGUGGGACUGCCAGCGUAAGCUGCGAGGAAGGCGGGGAUGACGUCAAAUCAGCACGGCCCUUACAUCCGGGGCGACACACGUGUUACAAUGGCGUGGACAAAGGGAAGCCACCUGGCGACAGGGAGCGAAUCCCCAAACCACGUCUCAGUUCGGAUCGGAGUCUGCAACCCGACUCCGUGAAGCUGGAUUCGCUAGUAAUCGCGCAUCAGCCAUGGCGCGGUGAAUACGUUCCCGGGCCUUGUACACACCGCCCGUCAAGCCAUGGGAGCCGGGGGUACCUGAAGUCCGUAACCGCGAGGAUCGGCCUAGGGUAAAACUGGUGACUGGGGCUAAGU